CACCUAGGAGCCUCAUGAGGACAUCAGAGGCAGUGCACUCAUAACUGUUACCUGAGGACAAAACUACAAACACAAGGUCUUCCUUCCAAGGAACAAUUACUAUAUUCUCUCUCUUGCACGAAAGACAAGAUCUACAGUCUACUAUAGGCAUGGACAACAGACUAGUCUUCACUGUCCUGGUUGUGAUGAUGUCCUUGAACUUUAUGGGCCCCUAUGCUCAAAGCUCCACAACCACAACUGCAGCAACCACAACGACACCAACCCCCACCACUGCGGCAACCACGAAACCAUCCACCACAACUGCGGCAACCACAACGACAACAACCGCAACCGCAACUACAGCAACAACUGCAACUACAGCAAGCAGAGGGCCGCCAACAACUGUAACUACAGCAACAACUGCAACUACAGCAAGCACAGCACCACCAACAACCGUAACUACAGCAAGCACAGCGCCACCAACAACCGCAACUACAGCGACUACAGCAAGCAUAGCGCCGUCAACAACCGCAACUACAGCAACUACAGCAAGCACAGCGCCGCCAACAACUGUAGCUUCAGUAAGCACAGCACCACCAACAACCGCAACUACAGCAACAACCGCAACUACAGUAACAACUGCAACUACAGCAAGCACAGCACCGGCAACAACCACAACUACAGCAACAACUUCAACUACUGCAACUACAGCAAGCACAGCAUUGCCAACAACCGCAACUACAGCAAGCACAGCGCCACCAACAAUCGCAAUUACAGCAACAACUGCAACUACAGCAAGCACAGCACCGCCAACAACUGCAACUACAGCAACAACUGCAACUACAGCAAGCACAGCACCGCCAACAACUGCAACUACAGCAACAACUCUAACUACAGCAAGCACAGCGCCACCAACAAUCAUAAUUACAGCAACAACUGCAACUACAGCAAGCACAGC
This is a long non-coding RNA of Amphiprion ocellaris (clown anemonefish), 937 nucleotides long. The record is from Ensembl. NCBI's taxonomy places the organism in Eukaryota, Metazoa, Chordata, Actinopteri, Pomacentridae.